This 484-nucleotide ribosomal RNA is filed under the name uncultured bacterium. RNAcentral's name for it is "partial 16S ribosomal RNA". It matches the Rfam family "Bacterial small subunit ribosomal RNA", at positions 30 to 507 of the family's 1533-position model. The record is from RNAcentral.
AUUGAACGCUGGCGGCAUGCCUAACACAUGCAAGUCGAGCGGAUGAACGGAGCUUGCUCCUGUCUUCCGCGGCCGACGGGUGAGUAAUUCCUAGGAAUCUAACUGGUAGUUAGGGCUAACGUACGGUCACGGGCGCUAAUCCCGCAUCCGUCCUGAUGUUGAACGUGAGGGAUCUUCGGACCUCACGCUAUCAGCUGUGCCUGGGUCGGAUUAGCUAGUUGGUGUGGUAAAGGCUUACCAAGGCGACGAUCCGUAACUGGUCUGAGAGGCUGAUCAGUCACACUGGAACUGAGACACGGUCCAGACUCCUACGGGAGGCAGCAGUGGGGAAUAUUGCACAAUGGGCGAAAGCCUGACGCAGCCAUGCCGCGUGAGUGAAGAAGGUCUUCGGAUCGUAAAGCACUGUAAUUAGGGAGGAAGGACAGUGAAUGAAUAUCUGGCUGUCUUGACGGUACCAACACAGAAAGCACCGGCUAACUUCGUG